Molecule: ribosomal RNA, 225 nt
Filed under: uncultured bacterium
Lineage: Bacteria
Description: partial 16S ribosomal RNA
Rfam family: Bacterial small subunit ribosomal RNA
Source: RNAcentral
CGUAACACGUGAGCAACCUUCCGAGAUAUGGGGGAUAGCCGGCCUAACGGCCGAGUAAUACCGCAUACGCUCUCGAUGAGGCAUUUCAUUGAGAGGAAACCUCCGGGGUAUUUCGAGGGGCUCGCGGCCUAUCAGCUAGUUGGCGAGGUAACGGCUCACCAAGGCAACGACGGGUAGCUGGUCUGAGAGGAUGGCCAGCCACAUUGGGACUGAGAUACGGCCCAG